UACGUAGGGUGCGAGCGUUAAUCGGAAUUACUGGGCGUAAAGCGUGCGCAGGCGGUUUGGUAAGACAGAUGUGAAAUCCCCGGGCUUAACCUGGGAACUGCAUUUGUGACUGCCAGACUAGAGUGUAGCAGAGGGGGGUAGAAUUCCACGUGUAGCAGUGAAAUGCGUAGAGACGUGGAGGAAUACCGAUGGCGAAGGCAGCCCCCUGGGCUAACACUGACGCUCAUGCACGAAAGCGUGGGGAGCAAACAGGACUAGAUACCCUGGUAGUCCACGCCCUAAACGAUGUCAACUAGGUGUUGGGGAAGGAGACUUCUUUAGUACCGCAGCUAACGCGUGAAGUUGACCGCCUGGGGAGUACGGUCGCAAGAUUAAAACUCAAAGGAAUUGACGGGGACCCGCACAAGCGGUGGAUUAUGUGGAUUAAUUCGAUGCAACGCGAAAAACCUUACCUACCCUUGACAUGUCAGGAAGAUUGCAGAGAUGUGAUUGUGCCCGAAAGGGAACCUGAACACAGGUGCUGCAUGGCUGUCGUCAGCUCGUGUCGUGAGAUGUUGGGUUAAGUCCCGCAACGAGCGCAACCCUUGUCAUUAAUUGCCAUCAUUUAGUUGGGCACUUCAAUGAGACUGCCGGUGAUAAACCGGAGGAAGGUGGGGAUGACGUCAAGUCCUCAUGGCCCUUAUGGGUAGGGCUUCACACGUAAUACAAUGGUCGGUACAGAGGGUUGCCAACCCGCGAGGGGGAGCUAAUCUCAGAAAGCCGAUCGUAGUCCGGAUCGGAGUCUGCAACUCGACUCCGUGAAGUCGGAAUCGCUAGUAAUCGCGGAUCAGCAUGUCGCGGUGAAUACGUUCCCGGGUCU
Molecule: ribosomal RNA, 859 nt
Filed under: uncultured bacterium
Lineage: Bacteria
Description: bacterial SSU rRNA
Rfam family: Bacterial small subunit ribosomal RNA
Source: RNAcentral